This 769-nucleotide non-coding RNA is filed under the name Isoteinon lamprospilus. The record is from RNAcentral. Lineage: Eukaryota; Metazoa; Arthropoda; Insecta; Lepidoptera; Hesperiidae.
UAAAAAUUUUAUGAUUUUAAAAGUUUAUUUAUAAUUUAUUUUACAUGUAAAUUUUAGUAUUAAUUUUUAAUUAUUUUAAUAAUAAUAGUAUUAUUUAACAGUAAUUAAAUUUAAAUAUUUAAGAAAUUAUGAUUUAGAAAUAUUAAAAUAAGUAACAAAUUUUGUGCCAGCAGUUGCGGUUAUACAAAAAUUAUAAUAAAUUUUUUUAGUUACAAUGAAUGUAAUUUUAGGUUAUAUUAAAUAUUAAAUUAUUAAGUGAAAUUUUAAUUUAAUUAAAAUUAUUUUUAUAAUAUGAUUUGAUAAAUUUAUAAAUAAACUAGGAUUAGAUACCCUAUUAUUAAAAAUUUAAAUUGAAAUGCUAAAAUAGUAAAUAAUUAAUAUUGAAACUUAAGUAAUUUGGCGGUAUUUUAGUUCAUUUAGAGGAAUCUGUUUAUUAAUUGAUAGUCCACGAAUAAAUUUACUUAAUUAAAAAUUUUGUAUAUCGUUGUUAAAAAAAUAUUUUUUAAUAAAAAUAAUAUUUAAAAAUUAAUAAAAAAAAUUAGUUCAGAUCAAGAUGCAGAUUAUAAUUAAGAAUAUAAUGGAUUACAAUAAAUUUAUUUAAAUGAAUAUUAUUUUGUAAUAAAUAAUUGAAAGUGGAUUUAAAUGUAAUUUUAUUUAUUUUAUUAAAAUGAUUAAAAAUUAAAAUAUGUACAUAUUGCCCGUCGCUUUCAUCUAAAAAUUGGAAUAAGUCGUAACAAAGUAGAGGUACUGGAAAGUGUUUCUAGAAAGA